ACCCUCUCAGGAUUGUAUCUGGAGAGUUUCCAGUACUCUACCAGUCUCAACUACAGGAGGGAAGUCAAGAAGAGGCCUACCCAUUCCAUUCCUAGCUUGGCCGGUGGCUAGCGAGUGGAAGGCAAUCUGCUGCAAGU
RNAcentral lists this small nucleolar RNA (137 nucleotides) under Ornithorhynchus anatinus (platypus). The record is from RNAcentral. Lineage: Eukaryota; Metazoa; Chordata; Mammalia; Monotremata; Ornithorhynchidae.